AUUGAACGCUGGCGGCAGGCCUAACACAUGCAAGUCGAACGGUAACAGGGAGAAGCUUGCUUCUUUGCUGACGAGUGGCGGACGGGUGAGUAAUGUCUGGGAAACUGCCUGAUGGAGGGGGAUAACUACUGGAAACGGUAGCUAAUACCGCAUAACGUCGCAAGACCAAAGAGGGGGACCUUCGGGCCUCUUGCCAUCGGAUGUGCCCAGAUGGGAUUAGCUAGUAGGUGGGGUAACGGCUCACCUAGGCGACGAUCCCUAGCUGGUCUGAGAGGAUGACCAGCCACACUGGAACUGAGACACGGUCCAGACUCCUACGGGAGGCAGCAGUGGGGAAUAUUGCACAAUGGGCGCAAGCCUGACGCAGCCAUGCCGCGUGUAUGAAGAAGGCCUUCGGGUUGUAAAGUACUUUCAGCGGGGAGGAAGGGAGUAAAGUUAAUACCUUUGCUCAUUGACGUUACCCGCAGAAGAAGCACCGGCUAACUCCGUG
Molecule: ribosomal RNA, 490 nt
Filed under: uncultured bacterium
Lineage: Bacteria
Description: partial 16S ribosomal RNA
Rfam family: Bacterial small subunit ribosomal RNA
Source: RNAcentral